Molecule: ribosomal RNA, 792 nt
Filed under: uncultured Acinetobacter sp.
Lineage: Bacteria; Pseudomonadati; Pseudomonadota; Gammaproteobacteria; Moraxellales; Moraxellaceae
Description: bacterial SSU rRNA
Rfam family: Bacterial small subunit ribosomal RNA
Source: RNAcentral
GAGUUUGAUCCUGGCUCAGAUUGAACGCUGGCGGCAGGCUUAACACAUGCAAGUCGAGCGGGGGAAGGUAGCUUGCUACUGGACCUAGCGGCGGACGGGUGAGUAAUGCUUAGGAAUCUGCCUAUUAGUGGGGGACAACAUCUCGAAAGGGAUGCUAAUACCGCAUACGUCCUACGGGAGAAAGCAGGGGAUCUUCGGACCUUGCGCUAAUAGAUGAGCCUAAGUCGGAUUAGCUAGUUGGUGGGGUAAAGGCCUACCAAGGCGACGAUCUGUAGCGGGUCUGAGAGGAUGAUCCGCCACACUGGGACUGAGACACGGCCCAGACUCCUACGGGAGGCAGCAGUGGGGAAUAUUGGACAAUGGGGGGAACCCUGAUCCAGCCAUGCCGCGUGUGUGAAGAAGGCCUUAUGGUUGUAAAGCACUUUAAGCGAGGAGGAGGCUACUUUAGUUAAUACCUAGAGAUAGUGGACGUUACUCGCAGAAUAAGCACCGGCUAACUCUGUGCCAGCAGCCGCGGUAAUACAGAGGGUGCGAGCGUUAAUCGGAUUUACUGGGCGUAAAGCGUGCGUAGGCGGCUUAUUAAGUCGGAUGUGAAAUCCCCGAGCUUAACUUGGGAAUUGCAUUCGAUACUGGUGAGCUAGAGUAUGGGAGAGGAUGGUAGAAUUCCAGGUGUAGCGGUGAAAUGCGUAGAGAUCUGGAGGAAUACCGAUGGCGAAGGCAGCCAUCUGGCCUAAUACUGACGCUGAGGUACGAAAGCAUGGGGAGCAAACAGGAUUAGAUACCCUGGUAGUC